This 1747-nucleotide long non-coding RNA is filed under the name Xyrichtys novacula (pearly razorfish). The record is from RNAcentral. Lineage: Eukaryota; Metazoa; Chordata; Actinopteri; Labriformes; Labridae.
AGGAGGAGGAGGAGGAGGAGGAGGAGAGAGAGGAGAAGGAGUAAGAGGAUAAGGAAGAGGAGGAGGAGAAGGAAGAAGAGGAGAGGGAGGAGGAGGAGAAAGGGAGGAGGAAAAGACCCCCUCGCUCCUCAGACUAAAUAUUUCCCAGCAUGCUUUGGCACGGUCAGGUGUUCUUCUGCUCUUUGGACAUGAUGGCGUCAAAGAGCGGCGAGCGGCGGACAUGUUAGCGUUCAAACGCCGACAGCUCGCCACAAAGAUCUCCUCCUGAGCUCGAGGAAACGCGUCCAGGCCGAGCGGCGGGACUGUUGGCUCAGGCUGAGUGUGUGUGUGUGUGUGUGUGUGUGUGUGUGUGUGUGUGUGUGUGUGUGUGUGUGUGUGUGUGUGUGUGUGUGUGUGUUUGGACCCGUGCCCGUCACCCUCCGUGUUAAUAAGAGUAAUCAGCGCCCCCAUGCCUACAGAGCGCAGCGGAGACAUGGCGCCGGACCAGCGCCGCCACCUGAGUGUGUUUACACAAAACACACACACACACACACACAUGCGCACACACAUGCGCACACACACACACUCACACACUCAGCUAAUGAGGGGAAAUGCAGUCAAUACAGUCCAAUUGAUCAGCAUUGUCCAGCGACGGCGUGCGAUCGAUCGGGUUUCCCUCGCAGUAAUGCCUCAUUAGCGGCGUCUGCAGCGCGCCAGCAAACACACAAUCAGGGAGUGAUGCAUCACGGCGCAAACAAAUCAUAGGGCAGUUAAUUUCAACGCUACGCUCGCUCGCUCGCUCCGGCUCAUUUGGCCUCCUGUGGGUCUGAGGCGGAUGAAUGUACCGCCACCGCCACCGCCGCUGUCCAGACGCUAAUAUUAAUAUCAACGCUGUGACAUCACUGUUAGACUGUGUGAGUGAGAGAGAGAGAGAGAGAGAGAGUGUGCAGCUCUGAAGGUCUGUAGGUCUGUAGGUCUGUAGGUCUUUAUCUUAGUAGGUCUGUAGGUUGGUGGGUCUGUAGGUCUGUUGGUCUGUUGGUCUGCAGCUCUGGUCUGUAGGUCUGUAGGUCUGUAGGUUAGUGGGUCUGUAGGUCUGUAGGUCUGCAGCUGUGAUCUGUAGGUCUGAAGAUAAGUGGGUCUGUAGGUCUGUAGAUCAGUGGGUCUGUAGGUCUGUAGGUCUUUAUCUUAGUAGGUCUGUUGGUCUGUUGGUCUGCAGCUCUGGUCUGAAGGUCUGUAGAUUAGCAGGUCUGUAGGUUAGUGUGUCUGUAGGUCUGUAGGUCUGCAGCUGUGGUCUGUAGGUCUGUAGAUUAGUAGGUCUGUAGGUCUGUUGGUCUGCAGCUCUGGUCUGUUGGUCUGUAGGUCUGUGGGUCUGUGGGUCUGUAGGUCUGCAGCUGUGGUCUGUAGGUCUGUAGAUUAGUAGGUCUGUAGGUCUGCAGCUCUGGUCUGUAGGUCUGUAGAUUAGUAGGUCUGUAGGUCUGCAGCUCUGGUCUGUAGGUCUGAAGAUAAGUGGGUCUGUAGGUCUGUAGGUUAGUGUGUCUGUAGGUCUGCAGCUGUGGUCUGUUGGUCUGUAGGUCUGUAGAUCAAUGGGUCUGUAGGUCUGUAGGUCUGUAGGUCUGUGGGUCUGUAGGUCUGUGGGUCUGUCGGUCUGUAGAUUAGUAGGUCUGUAGGUCUGCAGCUCUGGUCUGUAGGUCUGUAGGUUAGUGUGUCUGUAGGUCUGCAGCUCUGGUCUGUAGGUCUGUAGAUUAGUAGGUCUGUAGGUCUGUUGGUC